GACGAACGCUGGCGGCGUGCUUAACACAUGCAAGUCGAACGGCAAGGCCCUGCUUUUGUGGGGUGCUCGAGUGGCGAACGGGUGAGUAACACGUGAGUAACCUGCCCUUGACUUUGGGAUAACUUCAGGAAACUGGGGCUAAUACCGGAUAGGAGCUCCUGCUGCAUGGUGGGGGUUGGAAAGUUUCGGCGGUUGGGGAUGGACUCGCGGCUUAUCAGCUUGUUGGUGGGGUAGUGGCUUACCAAGGCUUUGACGGGUAGCCGGCCUGAGAGGGUGACCGGCCACAUUGGGACUGAGAUACGGCCCAGACUCCUACGGGAGGCAGCAGUGGGAAAUAUUGCACAAUGGGCGGAAGCCUGAUGCAGCAACGCCGCGUGCGGGAUGACGGCCUUCGGGUUGUAAACCGCUUUCGCCUGUGACGAAGCGUGAGUGACGGUAAUGGGUAAAGAAGCACCGGCUAACUACGUG
Molecule: ribosomal RNA, 468 nt
Filed under: uncultured bacterium
Lineage: Bacteria
Description: partial 16S ribosomal RNA
Rfam family: Bacterial small subunit ribosomal RNA
Source: RNAcentral